Non-coding RNA from Ovis aries (sheep), 55 nucleotides. The record is from Rfam. Lineage: Eukaryota; Metazoa; Chordata; Mammalia; Artiodactyla; Bovidae.
GGCUCAGAGGUUAAAGCGUCUGCCUGCAAUGCAGGAGACCUGGGUUCGAUCCCUG